GCUUUCCCCAUGUCGAACUUUCCAACUUGCAUACGUCAUUGCAGCAAAUUAACGCUACGGAAACGGAAAUAUAAUAAGAAGCCACAUAAAUCAAACGGAUCCCAUUAUGCUGGAGGGGGUGAAAAGAAAGCAGCCAGCUACCAAGGCGACUUCUUUAAAUAAUUCUAGACCCUGACGAGCACAAAAGCUCACAUCCGCACACAAAUAAACGAGGGGAAUAUUUAUCAAUGGAGCGCGAGAGACAAGGUAAAUAUAAUGCCAGUACCAGUCCUUUUGUCAACUGUAUUGUAAGACGUGAGAGGGGAGGAGAGAAAUUGUGGAGGGGAAGGACAAGCGCUUGCAGCUUUUUCGCCCUGUUUGUUUAGGCCAACUCACCGACUUAAGGAGUCUCCUGCCUCCACGGAGCUUUCAAUUCCAAUUUAAAUAUUUAGAGAGCAUCAGCAUUUGGCACCUCUUUGAACUCCGUUGGCAUCAAUCAGCGAAAGCAACAGGACUCGGAAUUGAUGUCCCUCCCCCUCACCAAAGCGCCGAUGAAAUUUUUAAUUGAAAUUAGCAUUCGAAAUUUCUACCAGUCACCGCAAAAUUGCUGCGGCUUUUUCCUGUAAAACAGAAUUUCAUGCCGUGGGCUGCCAAGUUAUAAUUACAAUUGAAAUGGGGGCGUGGGUUUUGCCAGCGGUAGUGGGCGGAACUGGGCGUGUUGUUGGACGAAAGCCAAAAAUUGAACAAGCCUAAUCAGAAGCGUUGGUGGCAAUUCGGAUAGCAUUUCUUGUGAAACUAUUUCCCUUUUCAAUUCCAUGAAUUUCAAAGAGGACCUCUCCCUAUCAUGUCCUAUCAAAUCAAAUCAACAUGAACUGAAGGCCAGCGAAGUGAGAACAUUCAUCGAAAUAUUUCUAUUUAUAUACAAAUAAGCGAAUUAAAUUCCAUUCUGCGAAAAAAUGAAA
Drosophila eugracilis is the source of this 941-nucleotide long non-coding RNA. RefSeq lists it as uncharacterized. The transcript has 2 exons. The record is from RefSeq and is a predicted model, not a curated record. NCBI's taxonomy places the organism in Eukaryota, Metazoa, Arthropoda, Insecta, Diptera, Drosophilidae.